Molecule: RNase P RNA, 401 nt
Filed under: Methylotenera sp.
Lineage: Bacteria; Pseudomonadati; Pseudomonadota; Betaproteobacteria; Nitrosomonadales; Methylophilaceae
Description: RNase P RNA component class A
Rfam family: Bacterial RNase P class A
About the family: Ribonuclease P (RNase P) is a ubiquitous endoribonuclease, found in archaea, bacteria and eukarya as well as chloroplasts and mitochondria. Its best characterised activity is the generation of mature 5'-ends of tRNAs by cleaving the 5'-leader elements of precursor-tRNAs. Cellular RNase Ps are ribonucleoproteins.
Source: RNAcentral
GAAGCUGGCCAGACAGUCGCCGUCGCAUUUUAUCUGUCAAUUUAUUGCCAUGGUAAUGAGAAGACCUUGCGGUCUUCUUGAAGUGAGGGAGGAAAGUCCGGGCUGCACAGAGCAGGAUGACGGCUAACGGCCGUACGUUGAAGUUUUUUUGGCGAAAGCUGGAAAAUAUAAGACGCGGAAUAGGGCCACAGAGACGAGCGUAUUUAGUUACGGUGAAACGCGGUAACCUCCAUCUGCAGCAAUAUCAAAUAGGCUGGCAUUUUUACGCAAGUAAAUAAAGCGUGGUUCGCGCUGCCAGCGGGUAGAUAGCUUGAGCGUACAAGUAAUUGUGCGCCUAGAUGAAUGACUGUCAGCCUUAGCAAUAAGGUCUACAAAACCCGGCUUAUCGGCCAGCUUCACAC